This 277-nucleotide unclassified non-coding RNA is filed under the name uncultured fungus. Its description in RNAcentral is "partial contains small subunit ribosomal RNA, internal transcribed spacer 1, and 5.8S ribosomal RNA". The stretch from base 1 to 73 matches the Rfam family "Eukaryotic small subunit ribosomal RNA", at positions 1759 to 1831 of the family's 1831-position model. Lineage: Eukaryota; Fungi. The record is from RNAcentral.
UCAAACUUGGUCAUUUAGAGGAAGUAAAAGUCGUAACAAGGUCUCCGUUGGUGAACCAGCGGAGGGAUCAUUACAGAGUCUCUGACUCCCAAACCACUGUGCACAUACCUCUGUUGCUUCGGCGGGUCCCGUCCUCCCUUGGGGUGGAGGACGGAGGCCAGGCCCGCCGGAGCGUCCUGAAAAACUGUUCUGAAGUUGGCUUCUGAGUGUGCUAAACAAUACGUUUACAACUUUCAACAAUGGAUCUCUUGGCUCUGGCAUCGAUGAAGAACGCAGC